AAUAAACGUCGCGACGGCGUCCAACAUCCGCGUAUCGAUCCGACGCAAUUUAUCGACGAAACGAUGAUGUUUAAACGCCCCGAACGCAAUUCAGCGAUCUUCGACGCUCGUCUCGCUUUGAUAUUCUAUUGUAUGUUAACUAAGCCGUGUGUAAUUCACCGCCGUUCGAAAAUAAAACACAACGACGACUGGGACGAUCAGCGACCGUCGCGAUUAGCGAUUUCCAGGUUUUGCCAAUGUGGCGAAGGAAAAACUGAAAACGCAACCAGUGCGCAUAGAUGAGAAGAAAGGCGUGCGAAUCCGCAUUAGGUGUUUUUUUAAAUAUGUAUAUAUAAAGUCGGGCGCAAUGUGCGCGCGUUAGACCGAUAUACCGUGCAAAUUUAAACUAAACAAACGUAAUUUUCGAAUGUCAGCGAAAAGGCGCCGUCGUGUGGCGCUUUCGGGAGCCACACGGCGCGUUGUUUACAGGAGGCGAAAAAGCCAGGGACGUCUGCCAAAAGACCUCAAUCACGUGUACGAAUGUGCAGUUCUGCGCCUCGCGCUUGUUACGUAAGCGAGCGGCGGCUUACGGCCGCGCGCGGAAUGUGAUUGUGUGCACGCGUGUCCGAAUAUCCGUUUCGCGCGUGUAUAGACGUGAAUCGUAUCUGCUACACGAAAGUGGAUGCUGUAGGUAUGCACAAGCAUGCGAAGCGAACCGAACAAAUUGGCAGCCAAUAAUUUUGCAAUCGUAAAUCAGCUUCGCUAGAAAAUCCCGUAUCCGAGUUACACAUAACGGCAUCCCAGAGACACGCAGCAACAACCCUUGAUUCAAAUGUAGUGUAGGCAACUGACCUGAAGUGGAUUGCUCUUAACAUACAAAAUUUUAUUGCAACCGUUUACUCCACCCCCCCCAAAACCGACAUAAAAAAUACAAACUUAAAUUUUAUCUUUAUAAAAGCAAACCUAAAAUUGAAUGCUACAAUAUAUUGUUCUAUUUCUCGCUUGUAAUUAAGUUAUACUCACAUUUUACAUUAUCCUUUAUACAACAAUCAUAAGAAACUCCACUUUAUCACAAUUACGUUAAUUAUGUUAAGUACUCAUUUGAUCAAUCUUCAUCAUUAUCAGCAGUAAUCAAAAUGUUUACGUGAAAAUAUAUGCCAUUGAUCGCGUGGACAAAGUUUACCUGCGCGCGUCAUACGUAAGUUCGAGUGACCAAACAGUUUAUAAUAAAUUGAUACUAUGUUUCACCAUAAAUAAUAUCAUAUGCAAAAAUUCAAGACAUAGUCUCAAUAUUGAACAUACACGCAUGAUUACACUUUUACGUCAAUGUCUAGCAGUAAAAAAUGUUAUUUUAAUUCCGAUUUUUCAAGCUUCAUAAUUUAUUGACACAUAUUUUCAUAAAUUUUUAACUUCCUCCUCUUUCCCUCUUUAAUCUUAUUUAAUAAAUAAAUACACCACCAUUGAAUUCCAAGAAAUGAUUACAAAGCAAUAGAUUCGUUUGAAGUCCACGGGAGAUAAAAAAAAACUACUCGCAUUUACACCGUUUAUGAGUGUGAGGUCUGAUAGCACUCGUUUGCCACCCAGUCAAUUCCCGCAAACAAAAUUAAAUUAUGAAAAGUAAUUUUACUCGUACGAAAUUAAUAGGUAACCGAAAAUAGAUUUUCAAAUGUGCACAUAGAAAAAAGGAAUCUGCGGAGCGUAGUAACAAAAGUCUAGUUUUAUAAAUAGCGAGAGUAAACCAACAGUGCAUGUAUGCACACACGGGUAUAUAUGUAAAGUGUAAUGUGCUAUGGGCCAGGAACAUGCACCGUUCAGAUAUUAAAAUCAGGCUUCAUUUCGAAUAAUUGUUUAUGACCAAAUACACGAAAUGGGGAAUUAUCACAUCAACACGAAGCGUUUCUUGUGUUAUUAAAUUAAAAUAAAUGAAAUGCAACAUUACAAUCAAUUAAUAAUAAAUGAUAUUCACUUGUUUCAAUGGCUGCAAAAAUUAAUGAUUUGUCCUAUAUAAUGUAAUUGGAUUAAUAUGUUAAAGUAAUAAUGUGUAUACUUUU
Molecule: long non-coding RNA, 2030 nt
Organism: Dalotia coriaria
Lineage: Eukaryota; Metazoa; Arthropoda; Insecta; Coleoptera; Staphylinidae
Exons: 2
Source: RefSeq, a predicted model, not a curated record